RNAcentral lists this ribosomal RNA (521 nucleotides) under uncultured bacterium. Its description in RNAcentral is "bacterial SSU rRNA". It matches the Rfam family "Bacterial small subunit ribosomal RNA", at positions 32 to 509 of the family's 1533-position model. The record is from RNAcentral.
ACAAAACGCUGGCGGCGUGCUUAACACAUGCAAGUCGAACGGACUGAUUGGAAGGAAGUUUUCGGAUGGAAUUUCGAUCAGUUAGUGGCGGACGGGUGAGUAACGCGUGAGUAAUCUACCCUUUACACUGGGACAACAUCUGGAAACGGAUGCUAAUACCGGAUACGCUCGAAAGGUCUAAUGAACUUUUGAGGAAAGGUGGCCUCUGAACAUGCUACCGGUAAAGGAUGAGCUCGCGUCCGAUUAGCUAGUUGGUAGGGUAAAGGCCUACCAAGGCAACGAUCGGUAGCCGGCCUGAGAGGGUGGCCGGCCACACUGGGACUGAGACACGGCCCAGACUCCUACGGGAGGCAGCAGUGGGGAAUCUUCCGCAAUGGGCGAAAGCCUGACGGAGCAACGCCGCGUGAAUGAAGAAGGCCUUCGGGUCGUAAAGUUCUGUCUUUAGGGUAAGAACCGCCAUACCUGUGAUAAUUGGUAUGCCUGACGGUACCUAAGGAGGAAGCUCCGGCUAACUACGUGCC